This is an RNA transcript of Pangasianodon hypophthalmus (striped catfish), 3576 nucleotides long. It is a transcript of the gene named syntaxin binding protein 1a, with no coding region annotated. The transcript has 20 exons. The record is from RefSeq and is a predicted model, not a curated record. Lineage: Eukaryota; Metazoa; Chordata; Actinopteri; Siluriformes; Pangasiidae.
GCCUAUCCACGCACACACACACACACACACACACACACUCUCUCUCUCUCUGACACACAAACGCAGGAGCGCAAUAGAGUGCAGGAGGAGAAGGGAGGAGAGGCAGAGAGCGGAAUAUCGCGUUAGUGUUCAGCAAGAGCAUCAUGGCACCCAUUGGAUUAAAGGCGGUGGUUGGAGAAAAGAUUAUGAAUGAUGUGAUCAAGAAGGUGAAGAAGAAGGGAGAAUGGAAGGCUCUGGUGGUGGACCAGCUGAGCAUGAGGAUGCUUUCCUCCUGCUGCAAGAUGACUGACAUUAUGACAGAGGGCAUCACAAUUGUGGAGGACAUAAACAAGCAGAGAGAGCCUCUACCCACCUUGGAGGCCAUUUACCUCAUCACCCCUACUGAGAAGUCUGUGCAUACACUUAUUAAUGACUUCAAGGAUCCUCAUUCGUCAAAAUACAGAGCAGCUCAUGUGUUCUUCACUGAUUCUUGCCCGGAUCCGUUAUUCAAUGAACUGGUUAAGAGUCGCGCUUCAAAGUGUGUCAAGUCCUUGAAUGAGAUCAAUAUUGCCUUCCUGCCGUACGAGUCACAGGUGUACUCUCUGGAUAACCCUGAUGCCUUCCAGAGUUUCUACAGCCCCCAUAAGACUCAGAUGAAGAACCCAGUGAUGGAAAGACUAGCUGAGCAGCUGGCCACUCUGUGUGCCACGCUCAAGGAGUACCCCGCUGUCCGAUACCGAGGCGAGUACAAAGACAACGCCACUCUGGCUCAGCUGGUGCAGGACAAACUGGAUGCCUACAAGGCAGAUGACCCCACGAUGGGAGAGGGUCCUGACAAGGCUCGCUCGCAGCUCAUCAUUUUGGAUCGGGCUUUUGAUCCUGUCUCUCCUGUCCUUCACGAACUUACCUUCCAGGCCAUGGGCUACGAUCUGCUGCCUAUUGAGAAUGAUGUCUACAAGUAUGAAACCAGCGGAAUGGGAGACUCUCGGGAGAAAGAGGUGCUGCUACAUGAGGACGAUGACCUGUGGGUGUCUCUGCGGCACAAGCACAUUGCUGAGGUGUCUCAGGAAGUGACAAAAUCUCUGAAGGAUUUCUCAGCCAGCAAACGGAUGAACACUGGAGAUAAGACCACGCUGAGGGAUUUGUCUCAGAUGCUGAAGAAGAUGCCGCAGUAUCAGAAAGAGCUCAGCAAGUACUCUACUCACCUGCAGCUGGCAGAAGACUGCAUGAAGCACUAUCAGGGCACUGUGGACAAGCUGUGCCGUGUUGAGCAGGACCUGGCCAUGGGAACAGAUGCAGAAGGGGAGAAGAUUAAGGACCCCAUGAGGGCCAUCGUGCCCAUCCUGCUCGACGCCAAUGUCAGCACCUACGACAAGAUCCGUAUCAUCCUGCUCUAUAUUUUCCUCAAGAAUGGAAUCACAGAGGAGAACCUGAACAAGCUGAUACAGCAUGCACAGAUCCCUCCUGAGGACAGUGAGAUCAUCACCAACAUGGCUCACCUGGGUGUCCCCAUCAUCACAGACUCCACUCUGCGCCGGGGGAAGAAGAUGGACCGCAAGGAGCGUGUGAGUGAGCAGACCUACCAGCUCUCUCGCUGGACCCCACUGGUCAAGGACAUCAUUGAGGAUGCGAUUGAUGACAAGCUGGACACCAAGCAUUACCCUUACAUCUCGACUCGCUCCUCCUCCUCGUUCAGCACCUCAGCAGUCAGUGCCCGAUAUGGCCACUGGCACAAGAAUAAGACCCCCGGAGAGUACCGCACUGGGCCACGUGUCAUUGUCUUCAUCAUUGGUGGAGUGUCUUUCAGCGAGAUGCGCUGUGCCUAUGAGGUCACACAGGCCAACGGCAAAUGGGAAGCCAUCAUCGGUUCCACCCACACGCUCACCCCAACCAAAUUUCUAAUGGAUCUGCAGCAUCCCGACUUCCGAGAGUCCACUAGGGUGUCCUUUGAGGACCCUGUUCCCUCAGACGAUUGAGAGAAAGAGGGAAGGGUGGGAGAGAGAGAGAGAGAAAGAAAGAGAAAUCACACUCUGACAAAGCUCAACCCAUAUCUUUACCCCUACCGUGCUCCUGGACGCACUCAAGGCCAUGAACAAACCAGACGAGGAUCAGACAAGCUAAAACCCUCCCUCUCUUCUCGUCUAUCUGAUCGCCCAAAUCCCCUGCUCCCAUAUUAAUGUGUAUGCAUCUUGCUUGAAAGAAAAAUGUAAAAAAAAAAAAAUGAAAGAAAAAAAAUAAUAAACAAUGGAAAUACUGACUAAAAAAUGAGAUAUAUAUAUAAAUAUAUAUAGUAUGUUGAAAAGCAAAAGAAUCAUUGUAAGUAUUCUCAUGUUUUACAAUGGAUGCAAAUGUUUAAACUGUCAAAAUAAGGUUUAAAUAUCAAAGGCCAUUCAAAACAGAAAUAACCAAAUAUUAAUAUUAAUAAUGAUAUUGGAUGCUCGGAAAUGUGUAAAUGGUAGAAACUUAGAUCAUUGGUGUGAUUUGUCAUGGUUGUGGGUGGGGGAGGGACAGUUGUGUGUAUGUGAGCGCCAGUCGAGAACUUAAUCAUAUCAUUUCUCUUGCUUUAUGAUGAACUCCUGUCAUUCGUCAUGCUGUAUGCUGAAAGCUCUGGUUUUAGAUUCAUAGUCGUGCAUGCCAUGGAAUCUUAUUUGUGGCCAUUUUGAAAUCUGAGGGGGAAAAAAUGUUGUGAUUUUGACACUGACUGAGUAUCUGCUGAGGGGAGAACCCGAAGCAGUUGAUGAGAAAAAUGAGUCACAUGUCAAAUGUAAAUAGCUCCAGAAUGCAAAUAUCAGCCCUCGCCGGCCUCAGAUCUGGCUCUAUCUACUCGCCAGGACCUUUUGUUUUAUUGCUCUGCAGAGAAUUUCACGUUUUAGUGUCAAAAAGGCCAUUGCUUGCAAAUGUUUGAAGAAUAUUCUCAACAGAAAAAAAGGGCCAGCUGUACUUCAGUAUUGUAUCCUGUCCGAUUAAGUCUUAUCAUUGGCUAGUAAAUGAUGUUUAACCGGGCCAUGCACUGAGUAGUGUGAUGUUGUAUAUGCCAUAUGUUGAUGUUUUAACGUCUCCCUGUUGACUUUCUGACUGUGAAGUAGUAUUUUUUUUUUCUUUCAAUAAUGCGAAGCCAAUGUGUUUGUGAUGUUCGAGCUGUAGUUGUAGUAGUAACAGAAAAAAAUAGCAACUAUCUAUAUUUGGUUUGUCUGUUCGUUAGUGCAACGUAACUCUUCCACUGGUGAAUGGCUUCGCAAAGAGAUGUAAUCCCAUCAUCUUUUUUCUUUCUAUUUCUAUUUAUUCCUAUUUUAUUCCUCUGCUCCGGCAACCAGGUUGUAUAUUGCACUAUGGGUUUUCUGUGAUGCGAAUGCUUGUUCAUUUUUAGUCCUUUAUUUUUGGUUUGCUGUUGUACAAGCACUGAGUGUGUCUACUAGAUUUAUAUCAAAUUUAUUUAUCAAAGAAAAUAUUAAUAAAUAAGAAGUUAGUCUGUCUUAAACCUGUUUAUCUUUGCUGGGAUUUCAUGUUUGCAAGCGUUGAAGCACAAACAAAAGUUAACUUGAUGUGUACUGAUGUAAUAAGACUGUCAAAUAAAUUGGCUUCCAUUACAGCAAAGAA